This is a transfer RNA of Ovis aries (sheep), 72 nucleotides long. It matches the Rfam family "tRNA". Rfam says of the family: Transfer RNA (tRNA) molecules are approximately 80 nucleotides in length. Their secondary structure includes four short double-helical elements and three loops (D, anti-codon, and T loops). The record is from Rfam. NCBI's taxonomy places the organism in Eukaryota, Metazoa, Chordata, Mammalia, Artiodactyla, Bovidae.
UCCCUAGUGGCUUAGAUGGUAAAGAAUCCACCUGCAGUGUGGGAGACCUUGGUUCGAUCCCUGGGUUGGGAA